RNAcentral lists this ribosomal RNA (253 nucleotides) under uncultured bacterium. RNAcentral's name for it is "partial 16S ribosomal RNA". It matches the Rfam family "Bacterial small subunit ribosomal RNA", at positions 524 to 776 of the family's 1533-position model. The record is from RNAcentral. RNAcentral also lists the same sequence under 1 other name.
UACAGAGGGUGCGAGCGUUGUCCGGAAUCACUGGGCGUAAAGGGCGCGUAGGUGGCGACCCAAGUCAAUGGUGAAAGCUCGAUGCUCAACAUCGAGUCGGCCACUGAUACUGGGUUGCUCGAGCACUGUAGAGGCAGAUGGAAUUCCGGGUGUAGCGGUGGAAUGCGUAGAGAUCCGGAAGAACACCGGUGGCGAAGGCGGUCUGCUGGGCAGUUGCUGACACUGAGGCGCGACAGCGUGGGGAGCAAACAGG